ACGGAAGGCAGCAGUGGGGGAUAUUGCACAAUGGGGGAAACCCUGAUGCAGCAACGCCGCGUGAGGGAAGACGGUCUUCGGAUUGUAAACCUAAGUUGUCAGGGACGAAUUUUGACGGUACCUGAAGAGAAAGCUCCGGCUAACUACGUGCCAGCAGCCGCGGUAAUACGUAGGGAGCGAGCGUUGUCCGGAUUUACUGGGUGUAAAGGGUGCGUAGGCGGGUCUGCAAGUCAGACGUGAAAUGCCGGAGCUUAACUCCGGAGCUGCGUUUGAAACUGUAGAUCUUGAGUGAAGUAGAGGCAAGCGGAAUUCCUAGUGUAGCGGUGAAAUGCGUAGAUAUUAGGAGGAACACCAGUGGCGAAGGCGGCUUGCUGGGCUUUAACUGACGCUGAGGCACGAAAGCGUGGGGAGCAAACAGGAUUAGAUACCCUGGUA
RNAcentral lists this ribosomal RNA (435 nucleotides) under uncultured Clostridium sp. Its description in RNAcentral is "partial 16S ribosomal RNA". It matches the Rfam family "Bacterial small subunit ribosomal RNA", at positions 341 to 792 of the family's 1533-position model. Lineage: Bacteria; Bacillati; Bacillota; Clostridia; Eubacteriales; Clostridiaceae. The record is from RNAcentral.